Molecule: ribosomal RNA, 697 nt
Filed under: Halobacillus sp. YIM 93824
Lineage: Bacteria; Bacillati; Bacillota; Bacilli; Caryophanales; Bacillaceae
Description: bacterial SSU rRNA
Rfam family: Bacterial small subunit ribosomal RNA
Source: RNAcentral
UGCAAGUCGAGCGCGGGAAGCGAGCGGAUCCCUUCGGGGUGAAGCUCGUGGAACGAGCGGCGGACGGGUGAGUAACACGUGGGCAACCUGCCUGUAAGAUCGGAAUAACCCCGGGAAACCGGGGCUAAUGCCGGGUAAUACUUUCUUUCGCAUGAAGGAAAGUUGAAAGAUGGCUUCUCGCUAUCACUUACAGAUGGGCCCGCGGCGCAUUAGCUAGUUGGUGAGGUAACGGCUCACCAAGGCGACGAUGCGUAGCCGACCUGAGAGGGUGAUCGGCCACACUGGGACUGAGACACGGCCCAGACUCCUACGGGAGGCAGCAGUAGGGAAUCUUCCGCAAUGGACGAAAGUCUGACGGAGCAACGCCGCGUGAACGAUGAAGGUCUUCGGAUCGUAAAGUUCUGUUGUUAGGGAAGAACAAGUGCCGUGCGAAUAGAGCGGUACCUUGACGGUACCUAACGAGGAAGCCCCGGCUAACUACGUGCCAGCAGCCGCGGUAAUACGUAGGGGGCAAGCGUUGUCCGGAAUUAUUGGGCGUAAAGCGCGCGCAGGCGGUUCCUUAAGUCUGAUGUGAAAGCCCACGGCUCAACCGUGGAGGGUCAUUGGAAACUGGGGAACUUGAGGACAGAAGAGGAGAGUGGAAUUCCACGUGUAGCGGUGAAAUGCGUAGAUAUGUGGAGGAACACCAGUGGCGAAG